This 864-nucleotide ribosomal RNA is filed under the name uncultured bacterium. Its description in RNAcentral is "bacterial SSU rRNA". It matches the Rfam family "Bacterial small subunit ribosomal RNA", at positions 9 to 869 of the family's 1533-position model. The record is from RNAcentral.
GAGUUUGAUCAUGGCUCAGAUUGAACGCUGGCGGUAGGCUUAACACAUGCAAGUCGUGCGAGAAAGUAUCUUCGGAUAUGAGUAGAGCGGCGGACGGGUGAGUAACGCGUAGGAAUCUACCUAGUAGAAGGGGAUAGCCCGGGGAAACCCGGAUUAAUACCGUAUACCUCCUUCGGGAGAAAGAAGGCCUCUCUUUGAAGCUUUCGCUAUUAGAUGAGCCUGCGUAAGAUUAGCUUGUUGGUGAGGUAAAGGCUCACCAAGGCGACGAUCUUUAGCUGGUCUGAGAGGACGAUCAGCCACAUUGGGACUGAGACACGGCCCAGACUCCUACGGGAGGCAGCAGUGGGGAAUAUUGGACAAUGGGCGCAAGCCUGAUCCAGCCAUACCGCGUGUGUGAAGAAGGCCUUCGGGUUGUAAAGCACUUUAAGCAGGGAGAAAAAGUUAUAAGUUAAUACCUUAUAACCGUGAUGUUACCUGCAGAAUAAGCACCGGCUAAUUCCGUGCCAGCAGCCGCGGUAAUACGGAAGGUGCAAGCGUUAAUCGGAAUUACUGGGCGUAAAGCGCGCGUAGGUGGUUUGUUAAGUUGGAUGUGAAAGCCCUGGGCUCAACCUAGGAACUGCAUCCAAAACUAACUCACUAGAGUACGAUAGAGGGAGGUAGAAUUCAUAGUGUAGCGGUGGAAUGCGUAGAUAUUAUGAAGAAUACCAGUGGCGAAGGCGGCCUCCUGGAUCUGUACUGACACUGAGGUGCGAAAGCGUGGGUAGCGAACAGGAUUAGAUACCCUGGUAGUCCACGCCGUAAACGAUGACAACUAGCUGUUGGAAGACAACGUCUUUCAGUGCGCAGCUAACGUUUUAAGUUGUC